RNAcentral lists this ribosomal RNA (800 nucleotides) under uncultured Glomeromycotina. RNAcentral's name for it is "SSU rRNA". It matches the Rfam family "Eukaryotic small subunit ribosomal RNA", at positions 310 to 1113 of the family's 1831-position model. Lineage: Eukaryota; Fungi; Glomeromycota. The record is from RNAcentral.
GAUUAUCAACUUUCGAUGGUAGGAUAGAGGCCUACCAUGGUGGUAACGGGUAACGGGGUGUUAGGGCACGACACCGGAGAGGGAGCNUGAGAAACGGCUACCACAUCCAAGGAUGGCAGCAGGCGCGCAAAUUACCCAAUCCCGACACGGGGAGGUAGUGACAAUAAAUAACAAUACGGGGUUCUUUUGGAUUUCGUAAUUGGAAUGAGUACAAUUUAAAUCUCUUAACGAGGAACAAUUGGAGGGCAAGUCUGGUGCCAGCAGCCGCGGUAAUUCCAGCUCCAAUAGCGUAUAUUAAAGUUGCUGCAGUUAAAAAGCUCGUAGUUGAAUUUCGGGACUAAUAUGUCGGUCGUGCCUAGGUACGUACUGGCUUAUUGGUUUCUCCUUUCUGAAGAACCAUGAUGUCAUUUAUUUGGUGUCGUGGGGAAUCAGGACUGUUACUUUGAAAAAAUUAGAGUGUUUAAAGCAGGCUCACGCUUGAAUACAUUAGCAUGGAAUAAUGAAAUAGGACGUUUGAUUCUAUUUUGUUGGUUUCUAGGAUCGACGUAAUGAUUAAUAGGGAUAGUUGGGGGCAUUAGUAUUCAAUUGUCAGAGGUGAAAUUCUUGGAUUUAUUGAAGACUAACUACUGCGAAAGCAUUUGCCAAGGAUGUUUUCAUUAAUCAAGAACGAAAGUUAGGGGAUCGAAGACGAUCAGAUACCGUCGUAGUCUUAACCAUAAACUAUGCCGACUAGGGAUCGGAUGAUGUUAAUUUUUUAAUGACUCAUUCGGCGCCUUACGGGAAACCAAAGUGUUUGGGUU